Long non-coding RNA from Pan paniscus (pygmy chimpanzee), 656 nucleotides. The record is from Ensembl. Lineage: Eukaryota; Metazoa; Chordata; Mammalia; Primates; Hominidae.
AUAUGUGCAAUGCUGCAAUCAGUUGCCAUGGAGACCACACUCUGGCCCUGUACCCUCAACAGCAUGGUUAAAUAAGUGGAUGAAACCCAAAGCUGUCCUCACUUUUCCUGCCAGACAGAUUUCCUUAAGUGAGCCAUGUGUUGGUAAUGAAAUCCUGAACCCAUGCGGGGUUAGACAGAAGCAGCAGUGCUUGAUGAUCUAUCAGAUGUGGGUGAAGACAGAACAGAGCAAGACAUACAUUUUUUUUCCCUCUGGGUUCACACAUGCUGCUAAAUGUGUUGUGUCAGGAUGGGAUCUAAUGAGAGCUGAUAAGAAGAUGCCACCCCCAGUGACCAUGAAUGGGUUCUCAUGUGUAAGAGACAGAACCAAAGUGGGGGUAACUGAGAUUGUGUGCCUACUUUUGUGGAUGAACAUCCCUGACAAGGUGGUGCUAUCUGUGAAAGGUUGGUGUGGCCACUUUGCACAUCCUUGCGAGCUGGUGGACUGCAUAUGGGGUCAAAAUAAGCAUUCUAGCUUAAAAACAACAAAAAGGAAACUGGACUGAAGUUUGCCUCGAGCUAAAGAGAAGGUCCUGUUCUUAUGGCAGCAGCAGCUGCAAACACACACCAGAACAGAAGUCGGGAUGACCAGGGACUUUCUCAGAGAAAAAUGCUGGC